GGAGAUGUGGCAGAAAUAUGCGAUUGGCUUGAAACCAUUAGGAUGGAAGUUAAAUUCUUCCCGUCUCUC
RNAcentral lists this transfer RNA (69 nucleotides) under Saccoglossus kowalevskii. RNAcentral's name for it is "tRNA-Ser". It matches the Rfam family "tRNA". From Rfam's summary of the family: Transfer RNA (tRNA) molecules are approximately 80 nucleotides in length. Their secondary structure includes four short double-helical elements and three loops (D, anti-codon, and T loops). Further hydrogen bonds mediate the characteristic L-shaped molecular structure. tRNAs have two regions of fundamental functional importance: the anti-codon, which is responsible for specific mRNA codon recognition, and the 3' end, to which the tRNAs corresponding amino acid is attached (by aminoacyl-tRNA synthetases). tRNAs cope with the degeneracy of the genetic code in two manners: having more than one tRNA (with a specific anti-codon) for a particular amino acid; and 'wobble' base-pairing, i.e. permitting non-standard base-pairing at the 3rd anti-codon position. Lineage: Eukaryota; Metazoa; Hemichordata; Enteropneusta; Harrimaniidae. The record is from RNAcentral.